AUGAUACGCGAGGAACCUUACCAGGGCUUAAAUGUGGUCUGACAGCUUUAGAGAUAGAGUUUUCUUCGGACAGAUCACAAGGUGCUGCAUGGUUGUCGUCAGCUCGUGCCGUGAGGUGUCAGGUUAAGUCCUAUAACGAGCGCAACCCCUACCGUUAGUUGCUAGCAGGUCAUGCUGAGGACUCUAACGGGACUGCCUACGCAAGUAGAGAGGAAGGUGGGGAUGACGUCAAAUCAUCACGGCCCUUACGUCCUGGGCUACACACGUGCUACAAUGGUAUGGACAAUGAGCAGCCAUCUGGCAACAGAGAGCGAAUCUAUAAACCAUAUCACAGUUCGGAUCGGAGUCUGCAACUCGACUCCGUGAAGUCGGAAUCGCUAGUAAUCGUAGAUCAGAAUGCUACGGUGAAUACGUUCCCGGGCCUUGUACACACCGCCCGUCACA
This 444-nucleotide ribosomal RNA is filed under the name uncultured Flavobacteriales bacterium. Its description in RNAcentral is "bacterial SSU rRNA". It matches the Rfam family "Bacterial small subunit ribosomal RNA", at positions 954 to 1401 of the family's 1533-position model. Lineage: Bacteria; Pseudomonadati; Bacteroidota; Flavobacteriia; Flavobacteriales. The record is from RNAcentral.